UGUAUAUCUGUGUGUAUUUUUAAAGGUUUCUUUGAACUGCCUUUGUGCUGACUAGGCAAAGCUCCUUGCCAAUGCUAGUCACGGUUUAAGGAACUUUGAGUUAACCUCUUAUAUCGAAUGAAUCUUUUCAUUUGGAAACCAAUAAAUCUCAAUCUCUAGCCACCUUUUGUAGAACAGGCUGGGGUUUACCAAGGCAAGGCUGAAGCUUAUAAUAAAGAAGAGAUAAAGUUUGCCAAAGUUUUUUUUUUUUUUUUUUUCCUCCCCUUCUUCUUCCUCUUCUUCUCUUGUAAAUAAAAGUUUUGGAGAUGGCAGCAUUUGGAAGCAAUCCGGAGAAGGACUUGGAUCUAUGCAUUGUUUCACAGUUUGUUUAAGGAAGCUGCCUUUGCCUGGGAGUUUCUUCAGUUUGACUUGGAAGCAGGAUUUUCUUACACAUACACGAAACGUCAGAGGACUGUGGAUUGGGGACCGCUGGCCUAUAUAGACGGAGAGUCGGUUUAGCUAUUAAAAUCCUGGACCCUUAAAUCCUGGUAAGAAACCAUCCUGUCUGGCUCCUGCCUCCUUCACAUCUUCAUGAUCUGAAUGUGCCUCCUUCUCCCAGGAACACAUCUGUGCGCAUAUAGGAACAGAAAGAGGGGUGUAGCUGCCUCUCUGGGAAUCACACCUGGGAAAAGGGGGGGUGGUCUCAUCCUGCACCAUUCAGAAACAAAUUCAGAGUGUUCUCCACGACUUUUCCCCACAUGUCAUGGUCUGGGCUGCAGGACCAGCCCUUGGAGAAGGGCCAUGGAGCCGGCUGCUGCUUGGGGGCCACUUCUCCUUCCCCCAAGCUCUGCGAUAACAUUUCCAGUGAGCACAGAGGGGCAAAUGACAGAACACUUGCAAACGUUUGAAGGGUUUUUGCCGAUCAAAGUUCAGCACUCCAGUUAGUCAUUAUUUCAUAGCAAAGAAGGCAUAGAGCCUCGGUGUUCUCUAAGUGAUAGACACAGGGUGACAAUCACAGGGGCUCUGGUGAACUUCCCGAUAUUAAGGCAGCUAAAGUGCUAUUCAGAUGUAAUCCAAUCAACAAGACACUGCUCUAAGCAAGCUGGGCAGCAUGGCAAACUGAGCUGAUGAGCACCCGGAGCUGCGUACCUCCGACGUACAACGGUGAGAAUAAAAACUAAAGAAGAGCUGGCCUAUUUGAAACUUCAGGGUAAGGGUCAGGGUGUUUCCUGACAUGCCAUUAUCAGUGGUUACUGGUGACAAGAGACUGGUGAGAAAUGGAGGGAGAUGAUAAGCAAGUGCUUGUGGUGCGCCUGGGGCAGACAAAAGAAGUCAGAAAGAAACAUUUAUAUUUUCUGGAGCAAAGAGAUUAAUUAGUGAGAAGAGCUGUUUUUGCAGCACAGAGAGGGUUUUCUUCACAAAUGGACCUGAAUAGUAUCAUUAUAGAGAUGGGGGUCUACACGGGCUUCUAUUUCUUCUCUUGGGAAACUGUGUUUUGUUUGCUAGUGAGGGAAGAGCGAUUCAAUCUCCUUAGUCCUACCAGGAAAUCUAUCCCCAGUAAAAUCAAAUCUUAGUAAACAAAAAAGCUAUUUUUUUUUUGUUGUUGUUUGCUUGUGUGCUUUUUUGUGUGACAACAAAUGCCUUGUUGAAAACUGUCCAUCCACAUCCAGCAAGUGCUCCUUGAAGCCAAACUUUCUAAAACUAUCCUGAAGCUUUGCAGGAUAAAUUUCAAAUGGUGAAGGAAGGGUUGCAUCACCUUCAUCCUACACAGCUGUUGCAUACUUUACAUUUGGUCCCCAUUUCAAAUUAAAAGACAAUUUACGAGAUAGAUUGGCUGCUACAUUCAACCCACCUGUCAAGAUCUUGGCUAUUUUUUAAAGUUCCCACUUCAGGGACAUUUCCUACAGGAUAGGAAAGAGGGACCAUUGGCCACCCAUUGGCUGCAGCAGUGCCAUGGAGAGGGGAUAGUGGGACAGGAGGGAAAAAGAUAGUUUUAGAUGUGCCUAAACAGAUGAUCCAAGCUGGCAUCACUGGUGAAAAAGAGACUGAGAUAUAGUACGGAAGAAUGACAUUGAAAAAAAAAAAAAAAAAAGCAUAUGGGCAUCUGGAAAGGGAAGUUAAGAAGUCUGACCUUGCCGUAGGAUGGAA
Long non-coding RNA from Cygnus olor (mute swan), 2127 nucleotides. RefSeq lists it as uncharacterized. Lineage: Eukaryota; Metazoa; Chordata; Aves; Anseriformes; Anatidae. The record is from RefSeq and is a predicted model, not a curated record. The transcript has 4 exons.